RNAcentral lists this ribosomal RNA (468 nucleotides) under uncultured bacterium. Its description in RNAcentral is "partial 16S ribosomal RNA". It matches the Rfam family "Bacterial small subunit ribosomal RNA", at positions 28 to 507 of the family's 1533-position model. The record is from RNAcentral.
GACGAACGCUGGCGGCGUGCUUAACACAUGCAAGUCGAACGGAAAGGCCCUGCUUUUGUGGGGUGCUCGAGUGGCGAACGGGUGAGUAACACGUGAGUAACCUUCCCUUGACUGUGGGAUAACUUCAGGAAACUGGGGCUAAUACCGGAUAGGAGCUCCUGCUGCAUGUUGGGGGUUGGAAUGUUUCGGCGGUUGGGGAUGGACUCGCGGCUUAUCAGCUUGUUGGUGGGGUAGUGGCUUACCAAGGCUUUGACGGGUAGCCGGCCUGAGAGGGUGACCGGCCACAUUGGGACUGAGAUACGGCCCAGACUCCUACGGGAGGCAGCAGUGGGGAAUAUUGCACAAUGGGCGGAAGCCUGAUGCAGCAACGCCGCGUGCGGGAUGACGGCCUUCGGGUUGUAAACCGCUUUCGCCUGUGACGAAGCGUGAGUGACGGUAAUGGGUAAAGAAGCACCGGCUAACUACGUG